Molecule: ribosomal RNA, 448 nt
Filed under: uncultured bacterium
Lineage: Bacteria
Description: bacterial SSU rRNA
Rfam family: Bacterial small subunit ribosomal RNA
Source: RNAcentral
GUCCAGACUCCUACGGGAGGCAGCAGUGGGGAAUAUUGCACAAUGGGGGAAACCCUGAUGCAGCGACGCCGCGUGAGCGAUGAAGUAUUUCGGUAUGUAAAGCUCUAUCAGCAGGGAAGAAGAUGACGGUACCUGACUAAGAAGCCCCGGCUAACUACGUGCCAGCAGCCGCGGUAAUACGUAGGGGGCAAGCGUUAUCCGGAUUUACUGGGUGUAAAGGGAGCGUAGACGGCGGUGCAAGCCAGAUGUGAAAGCCCGGGGCUCAACCCCGGGACUGCAUUUGGAACUGUAUGGCUGGAGUGUCGGAGAGGCAGGCGGAAUUCCUAGUGUAGCGGUGAAAUGCGUAGAUAUUAGGAGGAACACCAGUGGCGAAGGCGGCCUGCUGGACGAUGACUGACGUUGAGGCUCGAAAGCGUGGGGAGCAAACAGGAUUAGAUACCCGAGUAUC